GAUGAACGCUGACAGAAUGCUUAACACAUGCAAGUCGAUUCAAGUUACCUUCGGGUAAUGAGGAUGGCGGACGGGUGAGUAACGCGUAAGGAACUUGCCUCUUGGUCUGGGACAACUGUUGGAAACGACAGCUAAUACCGGAUAUUAUGAGAUUCUCGCAUGGGAAACUUAUGAAAGCUAUAUGCGCCAAGAGAGAGCCUUGCGUUCCAUUAGCUAGUUGGUGGGGUAAUGGCCCACCAAGGCGACGAUGGAUAGCCGGCCUGAGAGGGUGAACGGCCACAAGGGGACUGAGACACGGCCCUUACUCCUACGGGAGGCAGCAGUGGGGAAUAUUGGACNANGGNGNNNCAAGCCUGAUCCAGCAAUUCUGUGUGCACGAUGAAGGUCUUCGGAUUGUAAAGUGCUUUCAGUUGGGAAGAAGAAAGUGACGGUACCAACAGAAGAAGCGACGGCUAANUACGUGCCA
RNAcentral lists this ribosomal RNA (466 nucleotides) under uncultured prokaryote. RNAcentral describes it as "bacterial SSU rRNA". It matches the Rfam family "Bacterial small subunit ribosomal RNA", at positions 28 to 510 of the family's 1533-position model. The record is from RNAcentral.